Equus quagga is the source of this 1311-nucleotide long non-coding RNA. RefSeq lists it as uncharacterized. The transcript has 6 exons. The record is from RefSeq and is a predicted model, not a curated record. Lineage: Eukaryota; Metazoa; Chordata; Mammalia; Perissodactyla; Equidae.
GUUCUUCUUUAUUUCUCAUCUCCUUUGCCCAGCUCCCCACCCCAGAGCUUAACAAGUCAAUUUGUUAGACAAGCAUUCCUCCCCCAAUCUGUGAUGCCAUGUUACAGACACCGAGGCUCUAACCUAUACGGGGUGGAGAUGACAGGAACACAGUAAGAAGUGUGGCUUUCUUUGCUUCGACACUCAUCCAUCCAAUAUCCUGACCUAAAAAUAUUAUUUUCCAUGUGAUCUUGCAAUUUCGAGUUUUACCACAGAACUAAGUAGCUUUUACUAUAGCUAUGAAAAGGCACACUUCCUAGAGGAACAUUUAGAUCAGAUGUUUUGAUGUAAAAUACUUGUCUUUCGUAAGUAAAAUUAUAGUGCAUUUUAUUUUUCUUAGGAUAGUUAAUUCUGCCAUUAAAUAGAUUGUACUUACUUUGGUUCAAACGGCUGAAAAAAAAAGAGAAUUUAAAAUUUGCUAUUUUUCCUAUAAAGUCACGGAUAAUCCACUGACCCCGAGGAAGGGCAGAAGUGCUCUGUUUGGCUCUCCUGCUGCAGAGAGCUUUGCAGGGAUUAUUUCUCAUCGCUGAGUGACAGCUUGUUUCUGUCUCUCUCUGUUAGGAUAUUUUGCUCGUGUCCAUGGCAUCAGGCAGCUCAUAAAGGCAUUUCUACAGGAGACAGAAUGUCACUGCCAAAUUAUAAACCUGGGGGCUGGGAUGGAUACCGCCUUCUGGACAUUAAAGAUUCUUGUCCAUACCCACUACACUGAUUUCCUGACUCUCUCUAAUUGGUCUCAAGCUGCUUCCUGUUACAUCCUACGUCCAGAGUGCCUCCUGCUCCUCCCCACUCCAUCCCAGUGGACGCUUCCCCAGUUCUGGCUGCCUAUUACUUCUUGCCUAGGAUGAGGGUCUUCUCCCAAGGAAAUAUUUUGAAGUUGACUUUCCGGUGAUAGUCACGAGAAAGCUACAGAGCAUCAAAUUCAAGUCUCUCCUAUCAAAAACCAAUUUAGACUUACAUUCAGAGGAGACACUUCAAAUGGGAUUGUAGGAAACAUAUGUAUAUGUGCAUAUCUGCAGGAACUGUUUGCUCAAAGAAUUGGCCAUUAUGAAUUUUAGCUACUGCCCAACUGUUCUUCAAGACCUUUUUAUGAAUUCCUACUUUCACAAAGGCAAAUCCGCCCGCCGUACAAACUAUUGGGACUUCCUGGCUGAUUGUGGUGUGGAUGUUGUAAGUACCAAUUUGCUGUGUGCUUCCCCGCUCCUUCUCCUGUUCCUCUUUAUCCCCGCUCCUUGUUCUCUUCCCCUUUAUCAAUAAACUCUGAUUGCUUAAACA